RNAcentral lists this ribosomal RNA (350 nucleotides) under Limnadia sp. JRdW-2005. RNAcentral's name for it is "partial 16S ribosomal RNA". It matches the Rfam family "Bacterial large subunit ribosomal RNA", at positions 1857 to 2597 of the family's 2925-position model. Lineage: Eukaryota; Metazoa; Arthropoda; Branchiopoda; Diplostraca; Limnadiidae. The record is from RNAcentral.
ACCUGCCGGCCGCGGUAUUUUGACCGUGCGAAGGUAGCAUAAUCAUUAGUCUCUUAAUUAGAGGCUGGAAUGAAUGGUUAAACGAGAAAGACUCUGUCUUAGAAUUUUAUUUUUAAGUGAAAAAGCUUAAAUAAACCUGAAGGACGAUAAGACCCUAUAGAGCUUUUUUGUUGGGGCGACAGUUGUUGAUCCUUAAAGAAAGAUCAUAUGAACAAGUUACCUUAGGGAUAACAGCGUAAUCCUUUCCGAGAGUUCUCAUCAACGAAAGGGUUUGCGACCUCGAUGUUGGAUUAAGAGUUCACUGAGGUGCAGCAGCUUCAGUGGAAGGUCUGUUCGACCUUUAAUAUCUU